GAUGAACGCUGGCGGUGUGCCUAAUACAUGCAAGUCGAGCGAACAGACGAGGAGCUUACUCCUCUGACGUUAGCGGCGGACGGGUGAGUAACACGUGGAUAACCUACCUAUAAGACUGGGAUAACUUCGGGAAACCGGAGCUAAUACCGGAUAACAUGUUGAACCGCAUGGUUCAACAGUGAAAGACGGUCUUGCUGUCACUUAUAGAUGGAUCCGCGUCGCAUUAGCUAGUUGGUAAGGUAACGGCUUACCAAGGCAACGAUGCGUAGCCGACCUGAGAGGGUGAUCGGCCACACUGGAACUGAGACACGGUCCAGACUCCUACGGGAGGCAGCAGUAGGGAAUCUUCCGCAAUGGGCGAAAGCCUGACGGAGCAACGCCGCGUGAGUGAAGAAGGUCUUCGGAUCGUAAAACUCUGUUAUUAGGGAAGAACAAAUGUGUAAGUAACUAUGCACGUCUUGACGGUACCUAAUCAGAAAGCCACGGCUAGCUACGUG
RNAcentral lists this ribosomal RNA (497 nucleotides) under uncultured bacterium. Its description in RNAcentral is "partial 16S ribosomal RNA". It matches the Rfam family "Bacterial small subunit ribosomal RNA", at positions 28 to 507 of the family's 1533-position model. The record is from RNAcentral.